RNAcentral lists this ribosomal RNA (755 nucleotides) under uncultured bacterium. RNAcentral's name for it is "bacterial SSU rRNA". It matches the Rfam family "Bacterial small subunit ribosomal RNA", at positions 8 to 796 of the family's 1533-position model. The record is from RNAcentral.
AGAGUUUGAUCAUGGCUCAGAAUCAACGCUGGCGGCGCGCUUAACACAUGCAAGUCGAGCGAGAAAGGGGAGCAAUCCCUGAGUACAGCGGCGUACGGGUGAGUAACACGUGGAUGAUCUACCUUCUAGUGGGGAAUAACCCUGGGAAACCGGGGCUAAUACCGCAUGAGCCUGGAAAGGGAAAGCAGCGAUGCGCUGGAAGAGGAGUCCGCGGCCGAUUAGCUAGUUGGUGAGGUAACGGCCCACCAAGGCGAUGAUCGGUAGCCGGCCUGAGAGGGCACACGGCCACACUGGCACUGAAACACGGGCCAGACUCCUACGGGAGGCAGCAGUGGGGAAUCUUGCACAAUGGAGGCAACUCUGAUGCAGCGACGCCGCGUGAGCGAUGAAGCCCUUCGGGGUGUAAAGCUCUUUCGGCAGGGACGAUAAUGACGGUACCUGAAGAAGAAGCUGCGGCUAACUACGUGCCAGCAGCCGCGGUAAUACGUAGGCAGCGAGCGUUGUUCGGAAUUACUGGGCGUAAAGAGUGUGUAGGCGGUGCUCUAAGUUCGGUGUGAAAUCUCCCGGCUCAACUGGGAGGGUGCGCCGGAAACUGGAGUGCUCGAGCGUGGGAGAGGAAAGCGGAAUUCCCGGUGUAGCGGUGAAAUGCGUAGAUAUCGGGAGGAACCCUGCGGUGUAGACGGCUUUCUGGACCAUUGCUGACGCUGAGACACGAAAGCGUGGGUAGCAAACAGGAUUAGAUACCCCCGUAGUCC